RNAcentral lists this ribosomal RNA (719 nucleotides) under uncultured bacterium. Its description in RNAcentral is "bacterial SSU rRNA". It matches the Rfam family "Bacterial small subunit ribosomal RNA", at positions 97 to 817 of the family's 1533-position model. The record is from RNAcentral.
GGCGGACGGGUGAGUAACGCGUGGAUAACCUGGCGUAUACAGGGGGAUAACACUUAGAAAUAGGUGCUAAUACCGCAUAAGCGCACGGUUCCGCAUGGAACAGUGUGAAAAACUCCGGUGGUAUACGAUGGAUCCGCGUCUGAUUAGCCAGUUGGCGGGGUAACGGCCCACCAAAGCGACGAUCAGUAGCCGGCCUGAGAGGGUGAACGGCCACAUUGGGACUGAGACACGGCCCAAACUCCUACGGGAGGCAGCAGUGGGGAAUAUUGCACAAUGGGGGAAACCCUGAUGCAGCGACGCCGCGUGAGUGAAGAAGUAUUUCGGUACGUAAAGCUCUAUCAGCAGGGAAGAAAAAAAGUCCUUUGGACUUUGGACGGUACCUGACUAAGAAGCCCCGGCUAACUACGUGCCAGCAGCCGCGGUAAUACGUAGGGGGCAAGCGUUAUCCGGAUUUACUGGGUGUAAAGGGAGCGUAGACGGCAGCGCAAGUCUGGAGUGAAAUGCCGGGGCCCAACCCCGGAACUGCUUUGGAAACUGUGCAGCUGGAGUGCAGGAGAGGUAAGCGGAAUUCCUAGUGUAGCGGUGAAAUGCGUAGAUAUUAGGAGGAACACCAGUGGCGAAGGCGGCUUACUGGACUGUAACUGACGUUGAGGCUCGAAAGCGUGGGGAGCAAACAGGAUUAGAUACCCUGGUAGUCCACGCCGUAAACGAUGAUUACU